Notothenia coriiceps (black rockcod) is the source of this 162-nucleotide long non-coding RNA. RefSeq lists it as uncharacterized. NCBI's taxonomy places the organism in Eukaryota, Metazoa, Chordata, Actinopteri, Perciformes, Nototheniidae. The record is from RefSeq and is a predicted model, not a curated record. The transcript is spliced from 3 exons.
AGGGUCCACCUGGCAGAUUAGGCCCCUCUGGAAGAAUUGGACCAUCGACACCAGGUUUGCCCGGCAACAGAGGAGAGGAUGGAAAGAGUGGAAACCCUGGAGCAAAGGGCAGUCACGGUGAGACGGGGAGGCUCGGUCUUCACGGAAUCAGAGGAGACAUGG